This 449-nucleotide ribosomal RNA is filed under the name uncultured bacterium. RNAcentral describes it as "partial 16S ribosomal RNA". It matches the Rfam family "Bacterial small subunit ribosomal RNA", at positions 29 to 523 of the family's 1533-position model. The record is from RNAcentral.
AACGAACGCUGGCGGUAUGCCUAACACAUGCAAGUCGAACGAAGCCUUCGGGCUUAGUGGCGCACGGGUGCGUAACGCGUGGGAAUCUGCCCUUUGGUUCGGAAUAACAGUUGGAAACGACUGCUAAUACCGGAUGAUGACGAAAGUCCAAAGAUUUAUCGCCAGAGGAUGAGCCCGCGUAGGAUUAGCUAGUUGGUGUGGUAAAGGCGCACCAAGGCGACGAUCCUUAGCUGGUCUGAGAGGAUGAUCAGCCACACUGGGACUGAGACACGGCCCAGACUCCUACGGGAGGCAGCAGUGGGGAAUAUUGGACAAUGGGCGAAAGCCUGAUCCAGCAAUGCCGCGUGAGUGAUGAAGGCCCUGGGGUUGUAAAGCUCUUUUACCCGGGAUGAUAAUGACAGUACCGGGAGAAUAAGCCCCGGCUAACUCCGUGCCAGCAGCCGCCGUAA